GAUGAACGCUGGCGGCGUGCUUAACACAUGCAAGUCGAACGUGAGAGGUAGCAAUAUCUUGAAAGUGACGAACGGGUGAGUAACACGUAGGUGACCUGCCUCGGAGCGGGGGAUAACAGUUAGAAAUGACUGCUAAUACCGCAUGAAUCCACUGGGAUGGGAAGAAUGGUGGAGAAAAACUCUGGUGCUUCGAGAGGGGCCUGCGGUCGAUUAGCUAGUUGGUGGGGUAAAGGCCUACCAAGGCGACGAUCGAUAGCUGGUCUGAGAGGACGAUCAGCCACACGGGAACUGAGACACGGUCCCGACUCCUACGGGGGGCAGCAGUGAGGAAUAUUGGGCAAUGGCGGAAGCCUGACCCAGCAACGCCGCGUGGAGGAAUGAAGGCCUUCGGUUGUAAACGUACCUUUU
RNAcentral lists this ribosomal RNA (408 nucleotides) under uncultured bacterium. RNAcentral's name for it is "bacterial SSU rRNA". It matches the Rfam family "Bacterial small subunit ribosomal RNA", at positions 28 to 437 of the family's 1533-position model. The record is from RNAcentral.